AAAAUUGUGCAAAUGCAACACAAGUGCAUUGCACAUGCAUGUGCAACUACGCUUUAACUGAGAAGAAACUUAUACAACGAAAACUGAAUCAUCUUUCCAAGAAUCUGCAGUGAAAUUUGGGUGAUGUAGAAAUCUAGAUCGCAUAAUAGGAGAAUGGUCACAAUCAAUAGCAAAGUGAAGAUGGGAUUCAAUGGCUUCAUACUUGCUGUCCUAUUGACGUUGACUGGAGCUAGCCUUGGAUAUGAGUGUGAUAAGUCAGCCACAGUAUGCGAGACGACGCUGAUAAUCAGACAUAGGCUUACCAUGAUGCAUCCCACAGAACAGCAAGUCUACCCAGCAAAUGGUAAACUCUACAAAUAUGACGACCUAACACAAAGUACAGCCAUUCCCGUAGACGAGGUUAUGACUGCUGACGGAUGGGAAGACAACCGACUAGUUGUUGUAGCAAACGAGAGUCUCCCAGGCCCGCCAAUUAUAGUAUAUGAGGGACAGAGACUUAAAGUUCAUGUCAUCAACAAAAUGGCGUCUGAUACUUUGACCAUACACUGGCAUGGUAUUCCUCAAAAGCUGAGCCCUUGGAUGGACGGUGUCCCAUUUGUCACUCAGUGCCCUAUCCUUUCGGGGCAGACAUUUACGUAUGACUUUAUCGCAGAACCAAAGGGAACGUAUUGGUACCAUUCGCACGUGGGUGAUCAGCGAGCCAAAGGGAUGAAUGGUGCUUUUAUUAUAAGAGAGCGUACGUCAUCAGUCUCGGAACAAAUCAUGACAGUACAAGACUGGAACCACAACUGGGGGGCAGACAUGGAUCACCAAAAGUUGCUGCUAGGCACUUUUGUCAACCGUAUUCCUGAACCAUUGAGGAAUUCGGUAGAUGGAGGCCUGUUUGAUCCAUUCUACGUUACAUCCGUUCUUAUCAAUGGCAGAAGCCGUUAUUACAACAAAUCAGGCCAACAUAAUGAGGCUCCUUUAUCGGUAUUUUCCGUUGAAAGGGGGACGACCUACAGAUUCAGAGUUAUCCACGUCGGAGCCCUUUAUCCCAUACGGAUAUCAAUCGACAAACAUCCCCUUACUCUAGUCGCAUCAGACGGAUACGAUUUUCAACCGGUGGAAGCGGAAUCUUUUAUCAUAAACCCGGGUGAGAGAUAUGACUUUAACAUAAAUACGGACCAAGUAACUGGAAACUACUGGAUACGAGCCGAAACUCUGGAAGUGAACGCACAUAAGUCUGAAGCUGUGCUCCGCUACACAGGUGCAGAUGCGAAUCAAUAUCCUUCAACGGUACGGAAGACCUGUACACCAGCUGAUAGGUGUUUGGUGGUAAAUUGUCCAUUUACGACCUAUCCUGCUGAUCAUCACACAGACUGUCUGAGGUUUGACCAUCUUCGAUCUGCAGUUAACAACGAUCCUGCUCCUGAACCGACAUCUAUGGAUAUGUUCAAAGAACAUUUUUUGAAUUUUGGUCUUCCUGAAGAAAUAUCGUCAGUAAACGGAAGGGAGUUUAGGGUUCCUACUGUGUCUGCUCUUACGCAACCAUUAGAGAUAACUUCUACUUGUGACAAAGAAGAUUGUGGAGAGGACAAGACAUGCACAUGUACAUACUCACUUACCACCUAUCAUAACGACGUUGUACAACUUGUGUUGAUGAAUAUGGGGGCAGGAACAGGUGACGCACAUCCAGUUCAUCUCCAUGGUUACUCGUUCUAUGUACUGAAAAUGGGAUAUGCCACAUACAAUAUGACAACCUCAAAAUUCAUAUCUCAAAACAAUGAUAUAGAUUGUCGCGGAAGUGGAGAUAUGACAACAAGUUUCUGUAAUGAUGCUACGUGGAGAAACUCUAACUGGCUUGAAAAUAAUGUUCCGGGAUUGAAUUUGAUUAAUCCUCCGCGAAAGGACACGCUGAUUAUACCUAGCGGUGGAUAUGCUGUUAUCAGGAUCAAGGCAGAUAACCCUGGUGCGUGGAUGUUUCAUUGUCAUAUCCAAGUUCAUGGCGUUUUUGGAAUGAGAAUGCUCCUCAAUAGUUCCUACGGUAUGCACCCAGCGCCACCUAAAUCAUUUCCUGUGUGCCAUGAAUAUCCAUCCUCCUUCCGUGAACAAUUCGAGGACCAACGUCAGGUGACUCCAACAACAGGAACAGUCAUAGAUGACGGUGGAUACGGUAUCAAGACUUUCUGGAUCAUGUUUGCAGUUAUGGCUGUAAUUAUCAUACUGUUGAUUGCAUACAAUAUAUACGUAAGAAGAAAAGUACAGGUUUACAAAGAGCAGCUGGAAUCUUCUUCACCAGCAACGAUAAGCUCAAAGGAGAAUCCGGUCUUUUCCAAAACUUAGAAUGACUUUUGACAUGAUAUAUUUUGCAAAAGUAAUAACUAUUAUGAAAAAAACCAAACGGUUAGCAUUGAAGGACUAACAACAUAUAUACCAAAUUUCCAGAUAUGAUAGUACGUAGGAAAUGGCUUAAACAUAAUCUAAACAAAACAAAACAUUUUAAAAUGUUUUCAUCAGUGACAAUGUUAUUUGUAAAGUAAUAUAAAAACAUAGAAAAACAGUAAGCACAUGAUAUUUCAUACACGUGUUUGAUAUAGCAAAAACUACGAAAGCCUAUUCGUUUCAUUUUGAAAAGCAACAAAAAAUUAUGUAUUUUGUUAAAACACGUUAGUUAUCCCGUUAAAACGCGUUAGUUAUCUCGUUAAAACCCGAUAUUUAUCUCGUUAAAACGCGUUAGU
Molecule: RNA transcript, 2720 nt
Organism: Pecten maximus
Lineage: Eukaryota; Metazoa; Mollusca; Bivalvia; Pectinida; Pectinidae
Gene name: laccase-25-like
Exons: 4
Source: RefSeq, a predicted model, not a curated record